Molecule: ribosomal RNA, 427 nt
Filed under: uncultured bacterium
Lineage: Bacteria
Description: bacterial SSU rRNA
Rfam family: Bacterial small subunit ribosomal RNA
Source: RNAcentral
UGGGGAGUUUUGGACAAUGGGCGCAAGCCUGAUCCAGCAAUGCCGCGUGCAGGAUGAAGGCCUUCGGGUUGUAAACUGCUUUUGUACGGAGCGAAAAGGUCUGCCCUAAUACGGUGGGCUCAUGACGGUACCGUAAGAAUAAGCACCGGCUAACUACGUGCCAGCAACCGCGGUAAUACGUAGGGUGCGAGCGUUAAUCGGAAUUACUGGGCGUAAAGCGUGCGCAGGCGGUUUGCUAAGACCGAUGUGAAAUCCCCGGGCUCAACCUGGGAACUGCAUUGGUGACUGGCAGGCUAGAGUAUGGCAGAGGGGGGUAGAAUUCCACGUGUAGCAGUGAAAUGCGUAGAAAUGUGGAGGAACACCGAUGGCGAAGGCAAUCCCCUGGACCUGUACUGACGCUCAUGCACGAAAGCGUGGGGAGCAAACA